RNAcentral lists this non-coding RNA (677 nucleotides) under Homo sapiens (human). The record is from RNAcentral. Lineage: Eukaryota; Metazoa; Chordata; Mammalia; Primates; Hominidae.
GUGGUAGACUCGGAAAAGUGAAGGGUCCAACAUUCCGAAUAUCAGGAGUACAGGUGAAUGCCAAACUAGUCAUCUCCCAUGAAGAAGAAUUAAUACCUUUGCACAAAUCCAUUCCUUCUGAUCCAGAAGAAAGAAAGCAGUAUACUAUCCCAUGCCACACAAAGGCAGCUCAUUUUGAUAUAGACUGGGGCAAAGAAGAUGAUUCCAAUUUGUUAAUUGGCAUCUAUGAAUAUGGAUAUGGAAGCUGGGAAAUGAUUAAAAUGGAUCCUGACCUCAGUCUAACACACAAGAUUCUUCCAGAUGAUCCCGAUAAAAAACCACAAGCAAAACAGUUGCAGACCCGUGCAGACUACCUCAUCAAAUUACUUAGUAGAGAUCUUGCAAAAAAAGAAGCUCUUUCUGGUGCGGGAAGUUCAAAGAGGAGAAAAGCAAGAGCUAAGAAGAAUAAAGCAAUGAAGUCUAUAAAAGUGAAAGAGGAAAUAAAGAGUGAUUCUUCUCCUCUGCCUUCAGAGAAGUCUGAUGAAGAUGAUGAUAAAUUGAGUGAAUCCAAGUCUGAUGGUAGGGAAAGAUCCAAGAAAUCUUCAGUGUCAGAUGCUCCAGUUCAUAUCACGGCAAGUGGUGAACCAGUUCCCAUUUCUGAAGAAUCUGAAGAGCUGGAUCAGAAGACAUUCAGCAUU